RNAcentral lists this ribosomal RNA (347 nucleotides) under uncultured bacterium. RNAcentral describes it as "bacterial SSU rRNA". It matches the Rfam family "Bacterial small subunit ribosomal RNA", at positions 1 to 334 of the family's 1533-position model. The record is from RNAcentral.
CUAGCGACUUCAGAGUUUGAUCCUGGCUCAGGAUGAACGCUGGCGGCGUGCUUAACACAUGCAAGUCGAACGAAGCACUUUGAGAUCUUCGGAUGGAUGAGUGACUGAGUGGCGGACGGGUGAGUAACGCGUGGGUAACCUGCCUCAUACAGGGGGAUAACAGUUAGAAAUGACUGCUAAUACCGCAUAAGCACACAGGAUCGCAUGAUCCAGUGUGAAAAACUCCGGUGGUACGAGAUGGACCCGCGUCUGAUUAGGUAGUUGGUGAGGUAACGGCCCACCAAGCCGACGAUCAGUAGCCGACCUGAGAGGGUGAUCGGCCACAUUGGGACUGAGACACGGCCCAA